RNAcentral lists this ribosomal RNA (3981 nucleotides) under Patescibacteria group bacterium. Its description in RNAcentral is "23S ribosomal RNA". It matches the Rfam family "Bacterial large subunit ribosomal RNA". The record is from RNAcentral.
AGCAUCAUUAAGAGCAUACGGAGGAUGGCUCGACAGAACGUGCCGAUGAAGGACGUAGCAGCCUGCGAUAAGCUUCGGGGAGGUGGCAAGCAACCUUUGAUCCGGAGAUGUCCGAAUGGGGAAACCCCAUGCGGGGAAUGCCGCAUGACCUUGUACUGAAUACAUAGGUGCAAGGAGGAAACCUGGAGAAGUGAAACAUCUCAGUACCCAGAGGAAAAGAAAAAGUAUCGUUAGGUUUUAGGUUCUAGGAUCUAGGUUUUAGGUGUUAGGCAGUUUUCUAACAACCUAACCACCUAGCACCUAACCACCUAACACAUUCCCUCAGUAGCGGCGAGCGAACGGGGAACAGUCCAAACCUCCUUCAUGAAGUCAUGGCAAGCAUGAUAGGUACUUGUACCGAUUGUGUAAGCGGUGGCGAAAGAUGGAAGUCGUUGUGAGGGAUAGGUGUUGUAAGGCUCCAUGUCCGUUUCCUUCCAGGAACGGGUGGUGAAAUGAAUAUAUAGGAGAAUCUGCUGGAACGCAGAACCAAAGAAGGUGAAAGUCCUGUACACGAAAUAUUUUACAUUCAUCAUAGUGGAGAACCUUGAGUACUACGGGACUCGUGAAAUCCUGUAGGAACCAGCCGAGACUAUUUGGCAAGACUAAAUACAUGUUCUGAUCGAUAGUGAACAAGUACCGUGAGGGAAAGCUGAAAAGCACCCCGGAAGGGGAAUGAAAUAGUAUCUGAAACCGUAUGCUUACAAGGAGUCGGAGCCCGCAAGGGUGACGGCAUUCCUAUUGAAGAAUGAGCCAACGAGUGUGCUGUGCGUCGCUUGCUUAAGUCCUCCGGGACGAAGGCAUAGUGAAAGCGAGCGUUAACCCGCGUGAUCUAUUUUUAUACUCGGUCCUUCCGCUUGCGCUAGUUUGCGUAAGCCGGGUCGAGUAUAAAAUUAGAGAGUGGCGCGCACACGACCCGAAACCGGGUGACCUAUCCAUGUGCAGGGUGAAGCGGGCGUAACAACCCGUGGAGGUCCGAACCCUAGACCUGUGCAAAAGUCCGGGAUGACAUGUGGAUAGCGGAGAAAUUCCAAUCGAACUCGGUAAUAGCUGGUUCUCCCCGAGAUAGCUUUUGGGCUAGCGUCGGUUAAAACACAUUGGGGGUAGAGCACUGAAUGGGCUUAGCGGCUUUUAGCUAGCGAGCCUAACCAAACUCCGAAUACCAAUUUGUGUUCCCGGCAGUCAGACUAUGGGGGCUAAGCUCCAUCAGUCGAAAGGGCAACAGCCCAGAUCUCAAGCUAAGGUCCCUAAAUCGUCAUUAAGUGUAAAACGUGGUGAAGAGGCUUUUACAACCAGGAGGUUGGCUUAGAAGCAGCCAUCCUUUAAAGAUAGCGUAACAGCUCACUGGUCAAGCUUCCUCGCGCGGAAAAUGUACCGGGGCUAAAUGACGUACCGAAGCUGAGGGUGCACGCAACGCUAGUUGCGUGUGCGGUAGGGGAGCAUUCGUAUUGCACGGAAGCUGUGGGGUGACCCAUGGUGGAGCGAUGCGAAGAGAGAAUGUUGGCAUGAGUAGCAUAAAGACAUGUGAGAAUCAUGUCCGCCGUAAAUCCAAGGUUUCCUGGGCAACGCGAAUCGUCCCAGGGUUAGUCGGGAGCUAAGGCAAGGCCGAAAGGCGUAGUCGAUGCACAGCUGGUUCAUAUUCCAGCACUCUCUAUCACACUGAUGCAGGGACGCUUUCUGAAACUUCCCGCGCUCUAUGGCUAUAGCGUUGGGUGCUUGUAGGUGUCUGGUAGGUAAAUCCGCCAGGCAGUCGCGUAAGUGACAAACACGCAAGUAAUCGCAAGCUUGGAUGAAUAAUCCAGGCAAGGGGAAGGGACAGAGAGCCAAGAAAAGCUGCUAGGGUUAAUGUGAUAGGGACCCGUACCGUAAACCGACACAGGUGGAUGGGUGCGAAAUGCACUAAGGCGUACGAGAGAAACAUCGUUUAGGAACUAGGCAAAACAGCGUCCGUAACUUCGGGAUAAGGACUGGUUUCUCCCGGGAGGGAGAGACCCGCAGCGAAAGACGUCAACCGACUGUUUAUCAAAAACACAGGUCCCUGCUAAACCGCAAGGUGAUGUAUAGGGGCUGAUGCCUGGCCAGUGUCCGAACGUUAAGGAAGGGGGUUAUCCGGCCUUUAGGUCGGAAAAGCUCCUGACUGAAGCGCGGAUGAACGCCGGCGAUAACUAUAAUCGUCCUAAGGUUUUCCAUACUUUAGCUAAAAUUAGUUAAAUUAUGGAGAAGGACUGGGACGAUUGUAGAGGAAAAGGAAGACUGCCUCCUUUCAUAGUAAUGUGAAAGUGGUCCUAAAAUAUUGGCUAUAUGCUGGAAAGUUUGGAGUAUCGAGCGUUACGAUGCUAGAAUGUACAAGGUAACACAUUCCUUGACAUUCUAUGCCUCGUAAAAAAACGACUCGUGCAGACAACCAGCAGGAAAGACUUAUCAAGAUUGGUUGGAUAACAGGAUUUGUUGAUGGAGAAGGAUGUUUCUCGGUUGGUUUUAUAAAACAACCGAGGAAGAUUGAAGAUGGAAAGGUAGUACGAAGAGGCUAUACGACAGGUUACCAAGCAUUUCAUGAAUUUGCUGUAACCCAGGGAGAAAAGAGCAUUGAGUCGCUAAAAAUUCUUCGUGAUUAUUUUGGUGUUGGGAAUUUAUAUCUCAACAAGCGAUAUGAUAACCACAAAGAACAUAUGUAUCGUUUCGUUGUUCGAAAACGUGACGAUCUUCUCAAUGUGAUUAUUCCUUUCUUCCGUAUGUAUCAGAUGAAGACGACAAAGCAGGCAGAUUUUGAAAAAUUUGCAGACUGUGUCAAUAGAAUGAAGAACGGUGAACAUCUGAAGCAUGCCGGACUUGUCGCGAUUGCCUCCAUCGCCUCCACAAUGAAUCGUCAAAAACCACGUGAAAACUUGAUAGGAAUCCUCAGAGACCAUACGCCAACAUCCUUGUUAUAAGGAUGAAGAGAUGGUCCGGGCUGCAUGGCGACAUGCAGGUUCUGAAAAUUGUGCUAUCAGAACGCCAUGAAAAUUAUGGUAACGAUCCAAGCGAAAUUCCUUGACGGGUAAGUUCCGUCCUGCACGAAUGGCAUAACGAGUUGACGACUCUCUCAACGAUGUACUCGGCGAAAUUGCAAUGUGAGUGAAGAUGCUCACUACCCGUGGCAAGACGAAAAGACCCCGUGAAGCUUUACUACAAUUUGAUCUUGGGUUCAUGUUUCACAUGUUGAGCAUAGGUGGGAGCUUAGGCACCAGUGAGAUACCACCCUUGUGUUGUGUGAAUUCUAACCAGGCGCCGUGAAACCGGUGUCAGGGACAGGAUCUGAUGGGUAGUUUACCUGGGGCGGGUGCCUCCUAAAAAGUAACGGAGGCGUUUACAAAGGUUGGCUUAGCGCGGAUGGAAAUCGCGCUGGACGUGCAAACGCAGAAGCCAGCUUUACUGCAAGACCAACAAGUCGCGCAGUCGCGAAAGCGGAAGUUAGUGAUCCGACCGUACGAAAUAGGACGGCGGAAGCUCAUCGGAUAAAAGCUACUCCGGGGAUAACAGGCUAGUCUCCCCCAAGCGUCCACAGCGACGGGGAGGUUCGGCACCUCGAUGUCGACUCAUCGCAUCCUGGGGCUGGAGAAGGUCCCAAGGGUUAGGCUGUUCGCCUAUUAAAGCGGUACGUGAGUUGGGUUCAGAACGUCGUGAGACAGUUCGGUCUCCUAUCUGCCAUGGGCGUCGAAGAUUGAUGGAACCCAUUCCUAGUACGAGAGGACCGGAAUGGACGAACCUCUAGUGUACCGGUUGUCCUGCCAAGGGCAUCGCCGGGUAGCUACGUUCGGCUCGGAUAAGCGCUGAAAGCAUCUAAGUGCGAAGCCGUUCCAAAGAUAAGUCUUCAGUUGAGUCCCCUCAGAGAUGAUGAGGUUGAUAGGUCGCAGGUGUACGCGUCGUAAGACGUUCAGCCGAGCGGUACUAAUAGGACGAGCUCUA